This is an RNA transcript of Lagopus muta (rock ptarmigan), 1762 nucleotides long. It is a transcript of the gene named tescalcin, with no coding region annotated. The transcript is spliced from 9 exons. The record is from RefSeq and is a predicted model, not a curated record. Lineage: Eukaryota; Metazoa; Chordata; Aves; Galliformes; Phasianidae.
UGCCGGUGCCGGUUGGGCGGAGCGCUCCCCGCCCGCAGCGCUGCCGGCGGCGCGGUUCCCUGUGCGCACAGCGGCGGCGGGGCGAUGGGCUCGGCGCAGUCCGUGCCCCCCGAGAUGCGGGCGCUGGCGGAGCGCACCGGCUUCACCUCGGAGCAGAUCGAGCAGCUCCAUCGGCGCUUCAAGCAGCUGAGCCACAACAGGAAGACCAUCCGCAAAGAGGACUUCGACACCAUCCCCGACCUCGAGUUCAACCCCAUCAGGGCCCGAAUCGUGCACGCCUUCUUCGACAAGCGGAACCUGCGGAAGGCGCCGGCCGGGCUGGCAGAGGAGAUCAACUUCGAGGACUUCCUGACCAUCAUGUCCUACUUCAGACCCAUCGAGAUGGACAUGGACGAGGAGCGGCUGGAGAGCUUCCGCAAGGAGAAGCUCAAAUUCCUCUUCCACAUGUAUGACGCCGACUACGACGGGAUCAUCACGCUGCAGGAGUACAAAAACGUUCUGGAUGAGCUGAUGUCUGGGAAUCCCCACCUGGAGAAGGAGUCGCUGCGUGCCAUCGCGGAGGGGGCCAUGCUGGAGGCGGCCAGCGCGUGCAUGGCCCGCACGGGCCCGGAUGAGGUGUACGAAGGCAUCACCUUCGAGGAUUUCCUGAAGGUGUGGAAGGGGAUCGACAUCGAGACCAAAAUGCACGUCCGCUUCCUCACCAUGGAGGCCAUCGCUCACUGCUACUGACCAGGAGCAGGACGGAGGCUUCCCAGCACCACAAGGCCUCGUUCCGCUCUCUAGAACCAUAAGAGGACAUUUUCUUGGAGCAUCAGCACUUCCCGCUCAGAGCUACUGGCAGCGGGCUGCACUGCAGCCAGCCAGCCUUACAGAGGAUGCACGCAGUCACGGCUGCAUGUGCUGCACCGAUGAGAACCCACCAAAGUGGGACAGCAGCCCUUUGCAGAAACAAAAAUGCAGCUCCAUCCCAGCGCUCUCUGGCUGGGUGCCCUCGUUUGCAUCAGGGAUGCUGGCUGAACACCCGGUGCUGCUGUUCACACCGAACCAACCGCAGUGACGGAGCGGCAGCCUGCAAGGACCAGCCCACCCCAACCCACUGCCAGGAGCUGCAGCCGAGGGGAAGGGGAAUCCUCCUCCACUGGAGGGGACCCCACAUCCUCCAAAGACCGCAUGGCUCGGUCCUCAACAAGUCCAUGACCACCAGCCCCACUGCUCCAAGCCCAUCUUCUAGCAGCACAGCGACUGCUGCAGCUGUCAGGGCACAGCGCAGAGGGACGGACGUGUCCUUGUCACCACAGUGCAGAGAGAGAGGGGAAGUGGCUGCCCGGAAAAGGUCCUGACAUGCACUGGCAUGAGGCAACUUAUCUGCUGCUGCUUGCAGAGGCAGAUGGAGAAAGAACAAAGCUGCCCCGAGAUAAUGAGGCUGAGAUAAAGAAGGUCAGCCUCCUAACGAGCCAAGGACACUGAGUGAGAGGAGGCAGGGGGUGACAACCCUGAGGUGAGCAGAACAACAAAAGACAGCAGCUCUGUGCUCAGCCACAGGGCUCGAGCAACCCCAGAACUUACUGUGCCCUAACAGCUGUCACUUGCUGGACAGCUUCCAUCCAAAUUCUUCUCUGCUUCAUGGAUGCUUCUCUGCAAUGUCAGUGCAGUCACUGCAGCCAGUUGGUCCCUCCGCUCACUGAAGCAACAUGUAGCUCUGCAGCAAGGACAGUCAGCAGCCCAAGUCCCUGCCAGCUGGGGACAGCCUCUGGUGCUGUUA